RNAcentral lists this ribosomal RNA (253 nucleotides) under uncultured bacterium. RNAcentral describes it as "partial 16S ribosomal RNA". It matches the Rfam family "Bacterial small subunit ribosomal RNA", at positions 524 to 776 of the family's 1533-position model. The record is from RNAcentral.
UACGGAGGGGGCUAGCGUUGUUCGGAAUUACUGGGCGUAAAGCGCGCGUAGGCGGACCUGCAAGUCGGGGGUGAAAGCCCGAGGCUCAACCUCGGAACUGCCUUCGAUACUGCGGGUCUCGAGUCCGGGAGAGGUGAGUGGAAUUCCUAGUGUAGAGGUGAAAUUCGUAGAUAUUAGGAAGAACACCAGAGGCGAAGGCGGCUCACUGGCCCGGUACUGACGCUGAGGCGCGAAAGCGUGGGGAGCAAACAGG